GAGGAAUGAAAGAGGAAAGUUGCUUUGUCAGACUUCAUUUUGGUUUGCCGCUUAGAUUUUGGUUUCCCCGUUUUCACUUUCUUUGCCCCGUUAUUUUUUCCUCCAGGUGGCACCUUGUCCCCACCCAACUUCAACAUAUUUACAUAGAUUGUCAUCCUAUUUGCUUCCUUCAUCAAUAGCGCCUAUGCGCUGAUAGUUAUCUAUCUCUGAUUAUUGUUGCUUAGGAAAAUAAAUGGGCAGGUAAGUUGAUUUAUUUUCAUUUUUGUUGUUGCUUUGAUUCAAUUCGAUUUUGAAACAAGUUUUUGCGAAUUUGAUUGUGGAUAUUAGGGUUUUCCCAAUUAUUUGUUUCAGUAUUUGUGAUUAUAGUUCAUAUUUUAGGGAUUUUGCAAUUAAAUGUUUGCAUAUUUGAAAUUUAUAUUGUUGAAAUUAAGGUUCAUUUUUGAUAAUUUUUGUUCGAUUGAUUUUUUUUGUUCGCUUAUUUUAAUCAAAUAUAUGAUUCCAUAUUGUUUUGGUAGUAAUUUUAUGUUCUAUUGUUAUUUGGUUGUAAUAAUUAUAAUUCGUUUGAUAUAGUUGAUACAUUUUAAUUGCUAAAUUUGCAGCAUUCUGGUUUGAUUUUCUUUUCUGAAGUAAUUUGAUAUUGGUUCUUGAUUGUGGCUUUCAGAUCUAGAUUAAUUUAACUUUAUACUAUUCUCAUAGAUUAAUUUUGAUAUUUACAUUUUAGAUUUAUUAACUUACUUUUGCGUUUAUAUUAUGAACAUGUGAUGAUGUGAACUCAUUCUCAUCUUCUCAUUUGGGAACUAUAUACAAUGGUUUCUCUUUUAUGUUACAGAUGUUGUGUAUGUCAUUGCUUGUUAUAGACUUUUUUGUCAUAUGGCCUGGAUAAUGACAUGGUUAUUUGUCAUAUGGAUGACAUGGUUAUACCUUAGAUCUAAUGUGAUUUACUUUUAAAUCAUUUUUAUUUACAUAUGAGGUAUUUUGAUCAACUUUUGAGUGUUUUGUAUAUACUUUUAGAGCGCAUACCAUGCUGAGAUUCAGGCUUAAAGAAAUGCUCACGCCUCUACUGCUGUGAGCAAUUUCCAGGCAUGGGAGUUCUAUGAGCUACAAAGCUACUCCCAAAAAUUAAGCUUUUCGGAUGGAGAGCGUUGCACAAUGAUGUAGCUGUUCUUGGUAAUCUAAUCAGGAGGGGUGUGAGUGUGGAUCAGAUGUGCCCAGUCUGUGGGGGCGGUGAACCUAAAAUGCUGAUGCAUUCGUUGUGAGUUGUACUGCUGCUAAUUUAAGCAUUUUGAGCAAUUUGAGCUUUCUAUGUGUGGAAUUUGUUUCUUCUUUUGAUUUCCUAAUUUUAAAUUUAUUGGAAAUCCUUCAGAAAAUCAGUAUAGACUUGCUGUUGUGUCUUUGUGAGCUUUCUGUCAUUAUUUUCUUUACAUGGCAAACUCAGUCCUUAUGCAGGAUUUCUAACAGGAACUUUUUUGAUAGAGAUGAGGGGUACCGAUAUCUGACAUUUUCUAUGGAGUAUUACCUUCAUGUGGGGAUGCAGUUUAUAAAACUAUUCAUCUGCCCUUACAGAAAACUGUUGCACUGCUGAUUAACUGUGGCAAGUUCAUGAUUCGCACAGAAUAAUUUUCAAUGAUUUCAGUUUUAUGCAGGUCUUUGGUCUUAUGAGUUGCAUUUCUAUAUUUUACUUCUUUUUAGGUGAGGUGAAAUCUUAUUAUUUUCAGCAUAUAUCUAACAGUCGCUUGUUUGCAGAAUUUUAUUUCUAGCAGGGAAAAUCAUGUCACAAGAGAUUGGAUUGCUGAGGAGACUCUCAUCAUGUAAAUUAUUCUUAGGUUGGAGGUCGUAUCUUAAUGCGAGAGCUUCAGCAAUUGCAGAAGAAGUGUAGUAUGAUUGUAUGAGCAUACUUUUCCAGCUGCUACAACCUUAUCCAACUCAUCCAUGGUCACUGUCCCAAGCCUAAUAGCCCGCCCCACUCAAACAUAUGCAUCCAUAUCCACCUUCUUGUAAAUGAUCGGGAAGCUGCUUUGAGCAAGAGUACAACCUGUGCAGGAGGAGCAGCAGAAGCAUGAGUAGAAGUAAUAUUAUUUAUUUACUUUAAUGAUGUUUUAAUUUACUUUUUAGCCUUUUUUAUUUAUUUUUGAGCUGAGAUAUUUUGAGUUCAA
Chenopodium quinoa (quinoa) is the source of this 2153-nucleotide long non-coding RNA. RefSeq lists it as uncharacterized. The transcript has 2 exons. The record is from RefSeq and is a predicted model, not a curated record. Lineage: Eukaryota; Viridiplantae; Streptophyta; Magnoliopsida; Caryophyllales; Amaranthaceae.